This 259-nucleotide long non-coding RNA is filed under the name Populus trichocarpa (black cottonwood). Its description in RNAcentral is "long non-coding RNA (PTRI_LNC000552)". The record is from RNAcentral. Lineage: Eukaryota; Viridiplantae; Streptophyta; Magnoliopsida; Malpighiales; Salicaceae.
AAUAAGCAAUCAAAACAUAAGGACUAAAAUUAAAAAAAUAAAAAUAAAAAGGACAAACAUGUACUUUAACUAGAAGAGAGAGAAAAGUAGGAAGAAUAAAGAAGAAACAACCACCGGCGACAAACCGCUAAACACUAGGAGAGAAAAAAUUAACCCGAAGUACCUUGAUAAACCCACAAACCACGUUAACCUUAUAAAAAAAUUUGACAAAAACAACUUUGAAAAAAAAUUAUAACAAAAAAAGGAAAAGAAAAAAAAA